Molecule: long non-coding RNA, 2477 nt
Filed under: Homo sapiens (human)
Lineage: Eukaryota; Metazoa; Chordata; Mammalia; Primates; Hominidae
Description: HSALNT0318781
Source: RNAcentral
UUGCCGUUUUUUGAAGGCUUAUACAAAAUAGUUUCCUGCAAACUCAAGUGGCUGGGAAGCCCAGCUGAAGGUUACUUCUACCCCAAGGCCAUGUCAGCAGAAAGUGGCCAACAGGACUUGGGCCUGAAAAAGCUCAGACUGAAUUUUAGGAGUGACAUCUGAAACUGCUGGUUUCUCACAAGGAAUAAAAGCUGUCUGGGAAGCUGGAGAGGCAGUGUGCUGUCUGGAGCAGGGACUUGCAAAUGGGAACAGUGAAGAGAGACAGCAUCUCCUUCCUCUGAAGAUUCUGUUCAGAAUGGAUAAAGGUUCAGCAUCCUCCCUGGAUGGGGCAGCUUAGCAGGCAAGAAAGAAGUCAACUGAGUUUCUUCUAGAGAAAUUAUAGAAAGAAAGAAAAAGAAAGAAAGAAAGAAAGAAAGAAAGAAAGAAAGAAAGAAAGAAAGAAAGAGGAAGGAAGGAAAGAAAGAAAGAAGAAAGAAAAAGAAAGAAAGAAAGAAAGAAAGAAAGAAAGAAAGAAAGAAAGAAAGAAAGAAAGAAAGAAAGAAAGAAAGAAAGGGAAAGAAAGAAAAGUUGACUGAGACAUGGCCCAUUCCCUCCCUGGGACCAGCCUCUUCUUUCCAGCUCAAGGGUCAAGACAGUGUCCCCAGGAAGAAGCAAAGGCUGUGUUUUCCACACUCUUAUCUAGAGGUGAGCUGGCAGAAGCUCCUCCCAGACUGCAUCUAUCAGACAGGGAGACAAUAACUGCUUGGGUGAGGAACAAAGGGAGGAGACACCAACUGUCCCCACUAAUGACAGAAGAUGUGGCAGCCUGAAGCCCUAAUAUUGGCUGUGGCCCUUUAAGAUCCCUCCCCACUUAACUGUAACACCCCCCUUCUCCAGGAAACUGGCAAGGACCCUUGGCACUGUUGGCCAGCGCUCUUGGAGACAGCCAGGACGGGGUUGGCAGGACUGCCUACACUGCUUUGAAAAUAUUUAACAAUAGGUAACUUUGGCAUUUCGAGAAGGUCUUGGAUCACAGGAGUUGUGGAGGCCCUGGGAGAUGUAGAAAAGACAUAGUGAAAGCUUUUGUUUUGCCCGGAAGGAAAACAUGUGGAUGUCUCAGUCAGCUCAGACUUCUAUUUGGCUGAUGGGGAAGUCAGGGAGAGCUUGAGUGUUCACAGAAUGCCACCUCUACCUUGUAGCUGCCACGCGGAAUCGUUCAAUCUCUCAUCUGACAUCACCUUCACAGAUUCAGUUUCAUUCGCAAGGAAGACACUGACCAAAAAAAAAAAAAAAAAAAAAAAAAACAGAAGUAACUUUCCUUUAAAGGGCUCCAAACCUCCUGCUACCAAAAACUAGAAUUCUUGGUCUCUCUGGUUUACUGUCCCCCCAACCCAAGUUUGUCCCCCCCUCCCAGACAUCCACAUGCUUUCCUUGAGGUCAGGAGUGAUCCUCCCACCUCAGCCCCCUGAGUAGCUGGGACUACAGGCGAUGCCACCAUGCCUGACUAAUUUUUAAAAAUUUUUUAUAGAGAUGGGGUUUCAUCAUAUAGCCCAGGCUGGUCUUGAACUCCUGAGCUCAAGUGACCUGCCUACUUCUGACUCCCAAAGGCUUGAGAUUACAGGCGUGAGCCACCACACAUGGCCUAGUUUUAUUAUUUAAUUUUUUUUUUAAGAAUAGGGAUUUGCUGUGUUGCCCAACCUGGUCUCUAAUUCCUGGCUUCAAGUGAUUUUUCUGCCUUGGCCUUCCAAAGUGCUAGGAUUAUAAGCAUGAGCCACCACACCUGGCCCCAGUUAAAUUUGAAUUUCACAUACACAGGAAAUGAUAUUUUAUUUUAUUUUAUUUUUAAUUUGUUUUAUUUUGAGACAGUCUCACUCUAUCACCCAAGCUGGAGUGCAAUGGUGCAGUCUCGGCUCACUGACUGCAACCUCCGCCUCCUGGGUUCAAGCAAUUCACCUGCCUCAGUCUCCAGAGUACCUGGGACUACAGGCAUGCUCCAACAACCCCGGCUAAUUUUUGUAUUUUUUGUAGAGACAGGGUUUUACCACGUUGGCCAGGCUGGUCUUGAAUUCCUGACCUCAAGUGAUCCACCCACCUCAGUCUGCCAAAGUGCUGGGAGUACAGGUGUGAGCUACCGCUCCCAGCCAAGGAAUGAUAGUUUAGUGUAAAUAUGUACAUCCAUUCAAGGGAAUAAAAGUCAAGUUAGCAAAGAUGAGUCAUAAAAUAAUGUUAUUACAGUUUUGUGAUCGCUCAGGAAACAAGUAAUAUAAGCAUAAAACAUUAUGAAUUUACUAUACUAUUAUUAUUUUAUUUUUAUUGAUAUUAAUUGAAUCUUAGUAGACUAAAAUGAUACAGGUAUUAACCAAAGACAUGAACAAACAUAGAGUGUGAGAUGUUAGAGACCGCAACACACAUAGGUUAUGUUGCAGUGCAGCACUAAGAAUGAAUGUCUGUGUGUAGUAUAUAUUAAUUCUUUUCCCCAUAUGAUUUUCUAGAGCUGG